This is a long non-coding RNA of Pseudoliparis swirei, 750 nucleotides long. RefSeq lists it as uncharacterized. The record is from RefSeq and is a predicted model, not a curated record. NCBI's taxonomy places the organism in Eukaryota, Metazoa, Chordata, Actinopteri, Perciformes, Liparidae. The transcript is spliced from 2 exons.
GCCAAACCUUAUUAUAAAAAAAUAACAAUUUCAUCAUUGCUAUACUACCUAAAUGCUUAAGCAUUAUAUAACAAAUGUCAUCCUUUCCUGGUGAUGUAAGUCCUCCUCUUUCUAUUGCUCUUUUCAGUUCCUCUAAGGUAAAUGGGGCAUCACUAGGACUAUUAGUAUCAUCUCUCUUUCCAAGAACAUCGGGAUCCUCUCCUCCUGCAUCACCAUCUGGUACGCUGCUGCCACUGCCAGUGACAAAGGCAGACUGCAGCGUGUCAUCCGUUCUGCCGAGAAGGUGAUUGGCUGCAAUCUGCCAUCUCUACAGGACCUGUUCGCCUCUAGGACCCUGAGGCGGGCAGGUAAGAUUGUGGCCGAUCCCUCCCACCCGGGUCACAAACUCUUUGAGGUCCUUCCCUCCGGCAGGAGGCUGCGGUCCAUUAGGACCAAAACCUCACGCCACAAAACCAGCUUCUUCCCGGCUGCCGUUGGCCUCAUGAACAAGGCCCGGACCCCCACCUGACGUGGUCACCUCCCCUCCCCCACACCUCAAGCCUGUGUUAUGCACACACUACUUUGCACACUGAACAUUGCACAUGCACUUUUGCACUCCUGCCCUGCUUUUUUUUUUGUAUUGUAGUACUUAUUGUGUUUGUAUGUUCUAUGUUUUAUGUUCAUUUUAUGUUCACUGUAUGCACCUAUACACCAGAACAAAUUCCAGGUAGGUGUAAACCUACUUGGCAAUAAAUACAAUUCUGAUUCUGA